Drosophila miranda is the source of this 1221-nucleotide long non-coding RNA. RefSeq lists it as uncharacterized. Lineage: Eukaryota; Metazoa; Arthropoda; Insecta; Diptera; Drosophilidae. The transcript is spliced from 4 exons. The record is from RefSeq and is a predicted model, not a curated record.
UAUAUACAUAUAUUGGAUGUAUCCACAUACUCUUAUAGUGACCACUGGAAGGCAUUCUUGAACGCAAACUCUGGGUUAUCAUAGAGAACAAAAACCUUUUCUCUGGCCACGAUGCCAACAUGCGGCGGCUUGAGGAGUAGUCUUGGGACCUUCCUAAGGCACCUCGAAGAAAGCAGUUUUAAGAUACUAGAACAAGGGUAUCGGACGAAAAGGCGUGGAACAUUGCCUGCGUGGUCCAGAAUGUGCUAAUGUCAAUAUUACAGAGCUGGAUGACAAUCUAAAAUCUGAAAAAUUUAUAUUGCAAGAAACAAAAAUAUGAGUUAAAACUUGUAAUACUUUAGAACUAAAUCCGUUUGUAAAUUGAAAACUUAUUUUGAGUGCAUUUCUAGCUCUUUUAUCAUCGUCGCCUGCUAUUCAAGGAACAUUUUUAAUCAGGGACCGAUCAAGGAGAUUUUUCCGAUCACAAACAGGCACGUCACGACCAGAUCGGCUCACAAAUCUUUAUUUGCAUACGUAUCUGUAAGUUUGGAAAUAUACAGUCAUGAAAAAAUAAUAGAAACGGCAUUUACGGUAUUUCUAUAUAUUUGGAUUUUUACGGUGAUAAGAGGUUUUAGAGGUGAUUUUUACAAGAUUUUACAAGCCAAAAACUGCUGGAAAUCGUGGCAUCCUUUUGUGGCUGUGCUAACUCUUUAAAAAAACAUCAGGCAGUCUUUUGGGCUGACUCUUUUGACCUUGUUUUGAAAGGUGGGUGUGGCCGAAAAGGCAAUAUCCUUAAUUGUCCCUAAGGAUCUGGGAUACUCUCUCGAUCCUAAGGAGCCGUGGCACGCCCUGAUCGGACAUAAAAUGACGGACUUACGACGAUGGUUAAAUCCAUCAUGAUUUAAUUAUUUACAAUGCCAAAAGAUCAGACGCUAUAUCUCGGCCAAGUAGGUCCCGAUCGAUGAAGGACCUAAAUCCUCGACCUGUCCUGGCCAUGAUGCCGCUGCUGUGUCGCUAAGUCAAUAAUGUGGCGUUUUCGUCGUUUCCACUGCAGCAGGGGCCAGUGAUCAAUGGUGGUAUGGUUGAUUCAAGCCCACGGGAAAUGUCAGUACCCCCUCAUUCGUCGUCGCCGAAUCAAACGCUGGACCUUUGCUUUAAGACGCAGAACUUAUGUACCCUACGCUUUCCCCCGCCAGACGGAGUCCUGUCUAAGCAUUACCGAGGCGCAUUCGAGGCAGACCG